GGUUCUAAUGCAAAGAUCACCCUGUGGAGUUUGCUUCAUAUUUUCAUUAUUGCCACACACUGACAUUUGAUCAGCGCCCUGAUUACAGGUUCUUGAAGCGGCUUUUUCGUGGUUUAUUCUCACGGGAAGGAUAUGAUUUCGACUAUAUAUUUGACUGGACUAUAAUUAAGUAUCAGCAAGCACAGAAAGCUAGAAAUCGGUCUCAGGCAAUUCCUGGGACACAAGCAAUCAUCGAGGAGGAACUAAUAUCUCACAUGAAGCUGAGGCCUCUGAGCGUGUUUAGAUCGGCUAUUGGUCCAACCCAGCAGAUGAAUAACAAUAGGAGUCCAGGUUUUGAUCACUCCCUCCACAAUAAGAUGCAAAUGCCAUUCACUUCAGCAUCACCUGAGUUGUGGCGUUAACUUGGUUUUGCUGCUUGAUUAACAUGUGUUUGCAGAAAAAAAUAAGAGCCAAGCCUUUAGCAGAGAGAUGUCCUUGAAACGCUUUUUGAGUCGAGAGGUUGCUUGUGGCACAGGGGACACGUGACCUAGCAUUACGGGUUAAGAUGGUGGUGGACUUCACCAUCAUUUAGCCAGCUUUCUGAUGAUUUUCAUAAUUAAUGAUUUUGCCAAGACUGAUGAUCAGUUUAAUCUGGAAAAGAACAAAUGUUAGUGAGCUCACUCAUGAAGCCAGUCUAAUGGUCAAAGUCUUGUAUUGGUGUCGGCCUUUGUUUCUGCGGUAUCCGACAGCUCGGUUUGUUUGCGCUCUUUACGAAAAACCAUCAUCACUGGCAUCAUCAUCCCCAUCAUCAUAAUCACUAUCAUCCAAGAGAUAGGUGUAGGUGUUAUCUGUAGCUUCAACGGAAACAAUAUCUCAGGGCGUAAGCGAGGACCUACUUCACAAUCGUCAUAAAGUUGAACCACCACAUGAUAUGAUGAUGCAAUGACUUCAUUUCUACAUAACAAUAAUGUUUGGCUUCAUUUACCUAUUUAUUAUUAUAUUUAUGUUCUUUGAAUUGUUUACAUUAUGUGGAUGAAAUUUUCUUAAAUCUGAAAAGAAUUAU
Molecule: long non-coding RNA, 1042 nt
Organism: Raphanus sativus (radish)
Lineage: Eukaryota; Viridiplantae; Streptophyta; Magnoliopsida; Brassicales; Brassicaceae
Exons: 5
Source: RefSeq, a predicted model, not a curated record